GCAAAGGUAGCUCAGCGCAUAGAGCGCCGGUCUUGUAAGCCGGAUGCCGGGGGCUAAAAUCCCCCCCUUUGCC
Molecule: transfer RNA, 73 nt
Filed under: Pseudanthias dispar (peach fairy basslet)
Lineage: Eukaryota; Metazoa; Chordata; Actinopteri; Perciformes; Anthiadidae
Also listed under: 1 other name
Description: tRNA-Thr
Rfam family: tRNA
About the family: Transfer RNA (tRNA) molecules are approximately 80 nucleotides in length. Their secondary structure includes four short double-helical elements and three loops (D, anti-codon, and T loops).
Source: RNAcentral